Molecule: long non-coding RNA, 148 nt
Organism: Sebastes umbrosus (honeycomb rockfish)
Lineage: Eukaryota; Metazoa; Chordata; Actinopteri; Perciformes; Sebastidae
Exons: 3
Source: RefSeq, a predicted model, not a curated record
UUACCCUGCCAUGAGAGUUCUAUACAGUCUUUGUUUCCGACAGAGAACUGAAGCCGCUAUCUAAGCCCUCGCCAAAGCAACCAGACUCCACUGAAAAAAACUGUAAUUUUACCUCGCAGAACACGGGACUUGCUGGUCUACCGCUGCC